UAGGGAAUCUUCGGCAAUGGACGAAAGUCUGACCGAGCAACGCCGCGUGAGUGAAGAAGGUUUUCGGAUCGUAAAACUCUGUUGUUAGAGAAGAACAAGGACGUUAGUAACUGAACGUCCACUGACGGUAUCUAACCAGAAAGCCACGGCUAACUACGUGCCAGCAGCCGCGGUAAUACGUAGGUGGCAAGCGUUGUCCGGAUUGAUUGGGCGUAAAGCGAGCGCAGGCGGUUUCUUAAGUCUGAUGUGAAAGCCCCCGGCUCAACCGGGGAGGGUCAUUGGAAACUGGGAGACUUGAGUGCAGAAGAGGAGAGUGGAAUUCCAUGUGUAGCGGUGAAAUGCGUAGAUAUAUGGAGGAACACCAGUGGCGAAGGCGGCUCUCUGGUCUGUGACUGACGCUGAGGCUCGAAAGCGUGGGGAGCAAACAGG
This 429-nucleotide ribosomal RNA is filed under the name Gemmatimonadota bacterium. RNAcentral describes it as "Gemmatimonadetes bacterium partial 16S ribosomal RNA". It matches the Rfam family "Bacterial small subunit ribosomal RNA", at positions 355 to 776 of the family's 1533-position model. The record is from RNAcentral. Lineage: Bacteria; Pseudomonadati; Gemmatimonadota.